This is a non-coding RNA of Cyanistes caeruleus (blue tit), 1064 nucleotides long. NCBI's taxonomy places the organism in Eukaryota, Metazoa, Chordata, Aves, Passeriformes, Paridae. The record is from RefSeq and is a predicted model, not a curated record.
GUCAGAAAGGACUCGCUGGCACUUGGGAAGAGAGAAGUAUCCAGAGUCCCAGCUACACCUGUGUGUUUUCUGCUCUAACACCUAAAGAGCCUCAGAGAGCUUGUGCUUGAGGGAACUGCCAUCUCCAAAUCCUACCAACCUCCAUCCUCUUAAUUCCCCCAACUCCUCGUCCACCGUAGUAGGAAGCAUCCACCGUGGGCCACUUCUUGGAAGGCAAGGGCUCCUGUUCUUCUUCCUUCUCUUCCCAUUCUCUUUGUCACAUCCACGCUGUAAAGCUCAGAGAAUGCCCAGCGCUGACAGUCCCAGCAGGGGAGAGGCAGGCAAGGAACCCUCUUCAGUGAUUCAGCUGAAAACUGAAUGCACAGCCAUUCCUCCACGAGAAAAGCAGGGACGCUGCCCUGAAACCCAGGACUGCUAAGCCAAAAGUGGCCCUCCCAGGUGAUGGAUGUCCAAGCCUGAUGUGCCAGCAAGAAGGGCAGAAACUGAGGCACAGCACGAGGAGCAGCUGGCAAAACCAGAGGGAAGGAUCAAUAUUCCGCAGUAGGUUCAGUGCAACAGCGUGGGGGCUUGAAACUCAGCACUGUUGUAGCAAAGAGGCCUAAGAUUACCUUUUCUUUUGAAGUAACAAAUAGUAUCCACAGGAGGUGGGAGGAAACACAGAGGGCACAAACUUUCGAAGAACUAUGGUUUUAUAAGGGAAUUGAUAAUAUAGAGCUAUUCACUGGACUGCUUCAUGUAGGAAUUUUAAUUUAUGAAGCUGGUUUAUGAAUCAAGGUUAGGUUUUUUAAAAUAAGCAAACCAGCAACUUGCUCCUUACUGAUUUCCAAUGUUCCUUUUCCACAAGGAGGCUCACCAUAUAAAAUAAAGUGGAGGAAUCCCAGAGGGUGAAGGUGCAGAUGGAGGCUGAGAUGUCCUGCCCUUGGACAGCCUGGGGCCUGAUGGACUCCCCCAGGUCACAUGGGCUGCCGCCAGAGAAGGCAGAGAAGCCAGGAUGUGUGUCCCACCCGUGGCUCAGGGUGCAGCAGCUGUUCCCCAAGGUCUGUACUCACCACUUUGCAGCAGAG